GACGAACGCUGGCGGCGUGCUUAACACAUGCAAGUCGAGCGGUAAGGCUCCUUCGGGAGUACACGAGCGGCGAACGGGUGAGUAACACGUGAGCAAUCUGCCCUUCUCAUCGGAAUAACCAUUGGAAACGAUGGCUAAUGCCGAAUAUGACCUCGGAGCACAUGUUCUGAGGUGGAAAGCUCCGGCGGAGAAGGAUGAGCUCGCGGCCUAUCAGCUUGUUGGUGAGGUAAUAGCUCACCAAGGCGAUGACGGGUAGCCGGCCUGAGAGGGUGACCGGCCACACUGGGACUGAGACACGGCCCAGACUCCUACGGGAGGCAGCAGUGGGGAAUAUUGGACAAUGGGCGAAAGCCUGAUCCAGCAACGCCGCGUGAGGGAUGACGGCCUGG
RNAcentral lists this ribosomal RNA (389 nucleotides) under uncultured bacterium. RNAcentral's name for it is "bacterial SSU rRNA". It matches the Rfam family "Bacterial small subunit ribosomal RNA", at positions 28 to 419 of the family's 1533-position model. The record is from RNAcentral.